UGGCUCAGGAUGAACGCUAGCGGCAGGCCUAACACAUGCAAGUCGAGGGGUAGAGAUUAGCUUGCUAAUCUUGAGACCGGCGCACGGGUGCGUAACGCGUAUGCAACCUACCUUUUACAAAGGGAUAGCCCGGAGAAAUUCGGAUUAAUACCUUAUAGUAUUGUUGAUAAUCAUUUAUUAACAAUUAAAGUUUCAGCGGUAAAAGAUGGGCAUGCGUCCUAUUAGCUAGAUGGAGUGGUAACGGCACCCCAUGGCAACGAUAGGUAGGGGUCCUGAGAGGGAGAUCCCCCACACUGGUACUGAGACACGGACCAGACUCCUACGGGAGGCAGCAGUGAGGAAUAUUGGACAAUGGACGCAAGUCUGAUCCAGCCAUGCCGCGUGCAGGAAGACGGCCCUAUGGGUUGUAAACUCUUUUAUACAAGAAGAAUAAGGCUUACGUGUAAGUUGAUGACGGUAUUGUA
Molecule: ribosomal RNA, 464 nt
Filed under: Galbibacter orientalis
Lineage: Bacteria; Pseudomonadati; Bacteroidota; Flavobacteriia; Flavobacteriales; Flavobacteriaceae
Description: bacterial SSU rRNA
Rfam family: Bacterial small subunit ribosomal RNA
Source: RNAcentral